UGAGUAACACGUGGGUAACCUGCCUCAAAGAGGGGGAUAGCCUCCCGAAAGGGAGAUUAAUACCGCAUAACAUUAUUUCUUCGCAUGAAGAGAUAAUCAAAGGAGUAAUCCGCUUUGAGAUGGACCCGCGGCGCAUUAGCUAGUUGGUGAGGUAAUGGCUCACCAAGGCAACGAUGCGUAGCCGACCUGAGAGGGUGAUCGGCCACAUUGGAACUGAUAUACGGUCCAGACUCCUACGGGAGGCAGCAGUGGGGAAUAUUGCGCAAUGGGGGAAACCCUGACGCAGCAACGCUUUUUUUUUGAAGAAGGCCUUCGGGUUGUAAAGCUCUGUCUUCUGGGACGAUAAUGACGGUACCAGAGGAGGAAGCCACGGCUAACUACGUGCCAGCAGCCGCGGUA
RNAcentral lists this ribosomal RNA (399 nucleotides) under uncultured Clostridium sp. RNAcentral's name for it is "bacterial SSU rRNA". It matches the Rfam family "Bacterial small subunit ribosomal RNA", at positions 107 to 522 of the family's 1533-position model. Lineage: Bacteria; Bacillati; Bacillota; Clostridia; Eubacteriales; Clostridiaceae. The record is from RNAcentral.